Sus scrofa (pig) is the source of this 983-nucleotide non-coding RNA. NCBI's taxonomy places the organism in Eukaryota, Metazoa, Chordata, Mammalia, Artiodactyla, Suidae. The record is from RefSeq and is a predicted model, not a curated record.
UCCUAAUCAUUAACUCUUGUAUCAGCCUUUUGACUGAGGGGAGGCCUGGGAGACUAAAGGAAAAGUUUUUUAUUUCAAAACACAAGGACUCAGGAGCUUGUACAUGGUUUCACUCUUGUACUUGCAAAUAUUCUGAAGGCUUCAAGCUCUGGAGACAGACUCUCAGAUUGCUCUGAAGAACUGUCUGAAGAGAUAAGGGAAGAGCCAGGAUAUAUAGGAGGGGAUGGCCACCAAAACUAGUACCAUCUGGUCUCAGCAGAUAUUAAGCUUGAUUUGUUUUGAGGGACAUCAUAACAGCACUGAAACAGGGGAUGCACACCAUAAGGAUAUCAGAACUUCUGUGCUUAAAAUCAUCAGUUUUCUUGUGAAAGAACUGAAUGAAGACAACAUGGACGCUGUUGUAAACCAGGCAACAUUUCAGAACAUGAAGCUUCAUCUGCAAGCUAAUUAUGUUUGUGUUCUGAAACAAAAUCAGGGCAAUAACAAAUGAGGAAAAUUUCCUGAGCAAAGGUACCAUCAGAGACUGGAAGCAUCACUUGACUGUGGACCAAAUGAAGUAUUUGAGAGAAUAUUCCAAAGGGAGAUGAAAGAUUUUCCUUUGAAGUUCAUCUGGGAUACAAAUGAGGAGUAGAAUCAGUACAAAAAAAUCAUAUAAAAAUCUGCUAACUAGAGAGCAUAUUUUAAUAUACAACACUAAUUUGUGAUUCUUAUUGGAAUGUUAAUUAUAAAAUUUUGUUGAUAAACAAAAUGAGUAAACCAUGCUUAGGUUAGCUGCCAUGAAUUUGAAGAAAUUUUGAAAUUUCAGAAAUUAAAAUGAUUUGGGAGACAGUCUGCAUUGACAGUCUAUAUGAUAAAAAGAAAGACUGAAAGCAUGCCACAUAAAUUAUAAAUGUCUUGAGAGAAUUUUCUCUGUGUGUAUUUAUUCUUUAUCUACAAUUAAAUUUAUGAUUAAAUAAAGAUUAAAAUUCCUUUCACUCCUCUAA